UAACUGGAGAGUUUGAUCCUGGCUCAGAAUGAACGCUGGCGGCGUGCUUAACACAUGCAAGUCGAACGAGAAAGGGAUUGCUUGCAAUCCUGAGUAGAGUGGCGCACG
This 108-nucleotide ribosomal RNA is filed under the name Pseudomonadota bacterium. RNAcentral's name for it is "Proteobacteria bacterium (groundwater metagenome) partial 16S ribosomal RNA". It matches the Rfam family "Bacterial small subunit ribosomal RNA", at positions 1 to 104 of the family's 1533-position model. The record is from RNAcentral. Lineage: Bacteria; Pseudomonadati; Pseudomonadota.